RNAcentral lists this ribosomal RNA (492 nucleotides) under uncultured bacterium. Its description in RNAcentral is "partial 16S ribosomal RNA". It matches the Rfam family "Bacterial small subunit ribosomal RNA", at positions 29 to 507 of the family's 1533-position model. The record is from RNAcentral.
AGUGAACGCUGGCGGUAGGCCUAACACAUGCAAGUCGAACGGCAGCACAGUAAGAGCUUGCUCUUACGGGUGGCGAGUGGCGGACGGGUGAGGAAUACAUCGGAAUCUACUUUUUCGUGGGGGAUAACGUAGGGAAACUUACGCUAAUACCGCAUACGACCUACGGGUGAAAGCAGGGGAUCUUCGGACCUUGCGCGAUUGAAUGAGCCGACGUCGGAUUAGCUAGUUGGCGGGGUAAAGGCCCACCAAGGCGACGAUCCGUAGCUGAUCUGAGAGGAUGAUCAGCCACACUGGAACUGAGACACGGUCCAGACUCCUACGGGAGGCAGCAGUGGGGAAUAUUCGGCAAUGGGCGAAAGCCUGAUCCAGCAAUACCGCGUGGGUGAUGAAGGUCUUCGGGUUGUAAAGCCCUUUUAUUGGGAAAGAAAAGCAGUAUGUUAAUCCCCCGCUGUUCUGACGGUACCCAAAGAGUAAGCCCCGGCUAACUUCGUG